Non-coding RNA from Bubalus bubalis (water buffalo), 74 nucleotides. Lineage: Eukaryota; Metazoa; Chordata; Mammalia; Artiodactyla; Bovidae. The record is from the annotation of a RefSeq genome assembly.
UCCCUGGUGGUCCAGUGGUUAAGACUCUGCACUCCCAAUGCAAGGGGGCCUGGGUUUGAUCCCUAGUCAGGGAA